CCUGGUGGCUCAGAGGGUAAAGCGCCUGCCUGCAAUGCAGGAGGCCUGGGUUUGAUCCCUGGGUCAGGA
Molecule: transfer RNA, 69 nt
Filed under: Ovis aries (sheep)
Lineage: Eukaryota; Metazoa; Chordata; Mammalia; Artiodactyla; Bovidae
Rfam family: tRNA
About the family: Transfer RNA (tRNA) molecules are approximately 80 nucleotides in length.
Source: Rfam by way of RNAcentral